AGCGACUAAGAUUUCGAUUUCUAUAAAGCACGUCCUCACUCUCUCCCGCACCUAACACAUCUUUAUUUCUCCUGUACCCUAUUCUUAAACCGACUUUACCUUUGUUGCGAUUCCCAAAAAAAAAAACUAAAAAAAUUAAUCAAAAUCUAAAAAUAAAAAUAAUAACCGAUGGUUAUGAUGAUGUUUAUCAAAUCCCAGUUUCCAAACACAAACAGAAAACCCUAAAAAACCGAACGUUCUCUUUUCCCUCUUCGCUUUUUCUCCCUCCCUUUCUUUCUUCGCAACUCCCAAAUCAACCCAAUCUCUCUCUUCCACUUCACUCUCCUUCGUCAGAUCCGUCAGAUCUGUAACCCUCCUAGCUCUGCUCCUCGCAAAUCCACACGAUUUCACUUCCAGAUCUAUUUCACGCGCCUCCAACCUGACUGCACGCGCCGCUGGUAUGGUUGUGAACGGAAGGCCUUUAAAGAGAAUGAAGAGGAGAGUCACCGCUGAUCUCUGCGAUUUUCUUACCUUCCCUUCCGGCUUUGAACCUCCCCGGGGACCUUUCAGGACUAACGUCAAGGCCUUUUUGAUGGAGCAUGCACUGUUCCCGCCGCCAACCUCGCUCUUCCCUCAUCUAAUGACCUGGCAGAUCUCCUUUCGAGUCGGCGAUCUGAAGGAAGGCCUCGAUUCGGCCCCUGCGGUUGCCUGUUUGGAUAUCGUUGAGGAGGAUGUCGCUAAAUCCAGAUCCGUGUACUGCGACCAGUGCCGAGUCGUUGGUGAGUUCACUCACCCCGAGUCAGUUGACGUCGAGUCAUUGCAAAAUUUUUUUCUUUCCGGUUUUUCUCCGGUUGCCAGUCGCUUAGGGCGGGAAAUCCAACGCUUCUGUCCUUUUUUUUAAUCCUUUUCCCGAAAAUCGAAAAAUUAAAAUGUCGCGUGUAAAUGAUUGUUUAUCUCAUGAGAUGGAGCGGGCGUCAUAAAUGAACACUUGUUGUUUUUUUGUUUGAUGGUUUCUUGUUAGAAGCUGGAGCUUGGAAAGACCCACAUAUCUUGGUAGGGAUACGGACAACGAGACAGCUAAAUAAACAAAAUGAGACGGUAAACAAGUGUGAGAAGUAGUGUUAUAUCGUGAGAAAACGGGGACGAAUUGGAACGGCUGUUACUUGUAGGCGUGGCUAAUGUGGGGCCCAGCCGACACUGACAUGUAAUUAGUGGAGGAUGCACGAGGCACUUGCACUGAUUUGAUUUGUUUAUUUAUUUUUGGUGGCAACCACUUUCAUCUUUGUCUUUUUGCGGUGGCAUAUUUGUGAUUUGGAUCGAGAUGCGUCCUUCUUAUAUUGUGGGAACGGACUUUCAUGAUGUUUGGCUUGCUUUGCUGUCAUGGGUUUCCUUGUAGUAUUGUCUAACGUUACUAUGCGCUUUUGCCAAGUCACCUAUACCUUAUUACCUCUCUUAUUGGAGGAUAAUCUUUGUUUAAUAAAAUAAUUGCAUUGCACUGCAUUUUAGUUGAGCCUCUUCAUGUUUUGGAGUCGGUAAAGAUGGCCUAAUGGUAUCAAUAUUCACUUUCAUUAACAAAAGAAACACUUAAUUAGCUGUUUAAUGCUGUCCAGUUGAGUUAAUCUUUUAUAUGUAUUGCCACCGGCAAUGUGGGACGCCAAUGAAUUUCUCAGGUGUUAUAUAAAUGUAUUAUGAUUAUUUUGAUGUUCCGGUUUCUUUUUCUAAUUACCGAUAUUCUAUUCCUUAAUCUUAUUAAUAAAAAUUUACCUUAAUUUAUAGGAUGGAGUGGGCACCCCGUAUGCUGCAAACGUUACCAUUUUAUCAUCAAGGCUGAUGGUAAUUCCAUUGGUGGUUAUCACAAACCGUGCACAUGCUGUGGAGAUGUCCUGCAUAUCUCAGAAUUGAGAUGUAAGACAUGCAACCAUGUGACGACUACGGAUGAUGUUGAAGAUUGGAUAUAUCAUCAGUUAGAAGACACCACUCAUCUUUUACACGGCGUUGUCCAUUCAAAUGGCUAUGGUCACCUUCUUAGGGUCAAUGGCAGA
Molecule: unclassified non-coding RNA, 2021 nt
Filed under: Hevea brasiliensis (rubber tree)
Lineage: Eukaryota; Viridiplantae; Streptophyta; Magnoliopsida; Malpighiales; Euphorbiaceae
Source: RNAcentral